This 1914-nucleotide ribosomal RNA is filed under the name seawater metagenome. Its description in RNAcentral is "bacterial LSU rRNA". It matches the Rfam family "Bacterial large subunit ribosomal RNA", at positions 1018 to 2925 of the family's 2925-position model. The record is from RNAcentral.
GGAAACAGCCCAGACCGCCAGCUAAGGUCCCUAAUGUGUGCUAAGUGCAGAAAAGGAACUGAAGUCUCUAAGACAGUCAGGAUGUUGGCUUAGAAGCAGCCAUCAUUUAAAGAGUGCGUAACAGCUCACUGAUCGAGAGGCUUUGGGCCGAAAAUGAACGGGGCUCAAGUGCACAACCGAAGCUGCGGCUUGUAUCAGAUCGUUGAUCUGAUGCAGGGGUAGGGGAGCGUUCUAACUGGGUGAAGGGAUACGGUAACGAGUCCUGGACGGUUUAGAAGUGAUUAUGCCGGAAUGAGUAGCGAUAAAGCAGGUGAGAAUCCUGCUCGCCGAAAACCUAAGGUUUCCUGGGCACGGUAAAUCCGCCCAGGGUUAGUCGGUCCCUAAGGCGAGGCCGAAAGGCGUAGUCGAUGGGUAACGGGUUAAUAUUCCCGUACUGCUGACAGACGUUUGACCAAUGGGGUGACGCGGAAGUGAUAGCAAUCAGGGUGACUGAAGUCCCUGUGUAAGGCCGAGGGUGGUGUGUAGGUAAAUCCGCACACGGAAGCCCGGAGUUGAUGCCGAGUGCGUAUGCGCGAAGUUGCCUGAUCAACCGCCGAGAAAAACCUCUAGGGAGUCUUGUUAGUAUCCGUACCAAAACUGACACAGGUAGGUGGGGUGAGAAUCCUAAGGCGCUCGAGAUAACUGCUGUUAAGGAACUCGGCAAAAUGACCCCGUAACUUCGGGAGAAGGGGUGCCGUUGAGUGUGUAGGUCCUCGCGAUCGAAGCAUUUGGCGGCCGCAGAGAAUUGGCCCAAACAACUGUUUACUAAAAACACAGGUCUGUGCUAACUCCUAACGAGGAAGUAUACAGACUGACGCCUGCCCAAUGCCGGAAGGUUAAGGGGAGUGGUUAGCGCAAGCGAAGCUGCGAACUGAAGCCCCGGUGAAUGGCGGCCGUAACUAUGACGGUCCUAAGGUAGCGAAGUUCCUUGUCGGGUAAGUUCCGACCCGCACGAAAGGCGUAAUGAUUUGGGCACUGUCUCAACAGCAGACUCGGCGAAAUUGUAGUCGUGGUGAAGAUGCCACGUUCCCGCACUAAGACGGAAAGACCCCGUGAACCUUUACUGCAGCCUGAUAUUGGUGCUUGAUGCAUAGUGUGUAGCAUAGGUGGGAGGCGUUGAAGCGGAGCUUUCGGGCUGUGUGGAGCCAUCAGUGAAAUACCACUCUCUAUGUAUUAGGUCUCUAACGCGUAUGUCUGAAUCGGCUACGCGAACAGUUUCAGGUGGGUAGUUUGGCUGGGGCGGUCUCCUCCUAAAAGGUAACGGAGGAGCGCGAUGGUACACUCAGCGUGGUUAGCAAUCACGCGUAGAGCGCAAGGGUAUAAGUGUGCCUGACUGCGAGAGAUAUAGCUCGAGCAGAUACGAAAGUAGGUCCUAGUGAUCCGGCGGAUUCCGAGUGGAAGGGCCGUCGCUCAUCAGAUAAAAGGUACUCCGGGGAUAACAGGCUGAUCUCCCCCAAGAGUUCAUAUCGACGGGGAGGUUUGGCACCUCGAUGUCGGCUCAUCGCAUCCUGGGGCUGAAGGCGGUCCCAAGGGUUAGGCUGUUCGCCUAUUAAAGCGGUACGUGAGCUGGGUUUAGACCGUCGUGAGACAGGUCGGUCCCUAUCUAGUGUGGGUGUAGGAUGACUGAGGAGGUUUUCCCCUAGUACGAGAGGAUUGGGGAGGACGAACCGCUGGUGCUCCAGUUAUCACGCAAGUGGUACAGCUGGGUAGCUACGUUCGGAACGGAUAAGCGCUGAAUGCAUCUAAGCGCGAAGCCUUCUCCAAGACGAGUCAUCCCAAUGAGUCCCCUGGAAGACUACCAGGUUGAUAGGCAGGCGGUGUACGCGCAGCAAUGCGUUUAGCUUACCUGUACUAAUCGGACCAACAGAUCGGAAG